CCGAGGAGCGGCGCGCGCUCUCGGCUGCCCCGUGGAAGCGGGGGCGCGCCUCAGGGGCGGCGGGGUGGGGCUUGUUUUUGUCCCUCGAGGAGUUUUAAACCCCUGAAAUGAAGCAGGUGUCUCGAGAAAGGAAAAGCAUCCAGAUUCUAUAGUUUGCACUGGGAGCUUGAUGAAUCCAGCCCUGGGGAUGCUUUCUGCUUAAUGACUUCCAAAAUCCCCUUCAGUUCCCCUGGGCUUGGCUGGGACACUCCUUCCUCCAAAUCUGAAAACUGAAACUGCAACUACUAUGAAAUGAACACACCCAGAUUACCUGCUAAUCCAGCAACAAUAUUACAUUUUGAAUAAUAAACAAGAAAAAUGUAUUUAUUCCAAAUAUAGAUGCUCUUUGAUGGGAGAUGGAGGCUGUCAUCCAAAGAAAAGCUUGAACAAAAUAACUGGAACUUCACAGCAAGUAUAAAUUGUCCUUUAUCAGAAGUUGCUGCUCUCAAAGGGAUUGCAAGAACAUUUGUUGGCAACCACUUCGCAACCACUGCCUAGAGGCCACCAUGGCUUAUGUUUUUAUAUCACUUUUCACAGCUUGUAGCACUUCACAAUGGCUUCCUGAAAGCACUCCGGGCUUCAAUUUUCAAAAGAAAAAAUUUGUAGCACAUCUCCCAGAAAUAUCCUCUUGAAUUUUUUUAAAGAAAGUGUUGGGAGAGAGUAUUCGGCCAACAAUUUCUGUCCAAGUAACUUACCCACCCGGGCCUGAGGAAUUCUUAGCUGCCAAAUCUCACACUUCCUGUCUAUGCAUGGUGGGCGCCCAUUUCUAUCUCUUGGCUCCACAGUAACUGUCAUGAUGAGUCUGCCUUUUGAUAUCGUAGUCUGAAAGAGAUGACUAAUUUUUUC
RNAcentral lists this long non-coding RNA (885 nucleotides) under Laticauda laticaudata (blue-ringed sea krait). Its description in RNAcentral is "lncRNA (ENSLLTG00000014823.1)". Lineage: Eukaryota; Metazoa; Chordata; Lepidosauria; Squamata; Elapidae. The record is from RNAcentral.